RNAcentral lists this unclassified non-coding RNA (2221 nucleotides) under Acyrthosiphon pisum (pea aphid). Its description in RNAcentral is "protein vein, transcript variant X5". The record is from RNAcentral. Lineage: Eukaryota; Metazoa; Arthropoda; Insecta; Hemiptera; Aphididae.
GCGACCUCUCGCAGUGUGCUAUUCGUAAUCGGGGCGUAAGAGUGCACCGGUGCUCGGACGACUUACCCCACGUGCGCGCGUAUAUCAUGCGAUGUGCCCCGCCGCCAGUCGUCACAUUACCGUUAACGCGUGCGAGUCGAGUGUGAAACCGAUUGGUGUUUAGAAAAAUACUCCGCUUCAUUAGUAUUUUAUUUGUUGAAAGAUUUACAAUUUUUUUUGCAAAUAAAAUAAAAUAUUAAACGAUUGCGUUUUUAGAUAAUUUUUUAAAAUUUUUUUUCCCGUUCGUGUUUUCAAUGAAAAAUCACUGAUCGGUCCCGACGAUUGUUAAAUAUUUCUCGUCGUUUGCAUUUCACGGUGAAAAAGAGUCAUCCAUAUAAAAUAAUACAUCAUCAAUCUGGAACGUGUGCGAUCACGAUGGACACUACCUAACAGAAUAUUUCGUCCGCAACAGCAUAACAACAACAACGACAACAAUAAUAAUAAAUCUACCUAUCAUAAUAUUAUGUGCCGAGUGACCCUCGCGUGUUUUUCGUGUUGAAUACGCGUUAAGUUUUUUUUUUUGUUCUUGUUAUUUUCUAAACCGUAGAUAAAGCUAUAUAUAGUGCCGACGACCACUUCGCGUCACCCCCAAAAAUACCCAAAAUACCACCUACCCCCUACAUAUACACUGCUGCAAUGACGGACCCGUAUGACGACCGACGCAAUCCGUACAAAGAAGUGGGUCGGUGGUGGUGAUACGCGCGACAUGUCGAAUGGUGGUGACGGCGCAGCAGGUGCAGUUUGCGCGUGUGGCCGUCGCCGUUGCCGUCGUCGGGCGGCGUCGUCCUCGUCUCCAUCGCCGUCCGUGCUGGCCGUGUGGACGACGGCGUUCGUGCUGGCCGUGAUCGUAGGCGGCGGCGGGGUCGAAGCGCUACACUCGGCCGCGGCCGUCUCGACGGCUGGUGGCGGCAGUGCGGCUGCGGCAGCUGCGGCGAUGGCGGCGGGCCGGAUGGCGCCGUGCGCCCACUUGGGCGACGAGACCAACGACGUGUCGGCCCGGGCGUACGCGUCCGACGUGGUGUUCGAGGGCAAGGUCCGGUCCAAGGGCCCGGUACGGCCCGGGGAUGGUACGUAUGGCGUCACGUUCGUGGUACAGCGCGUGCACAAAGACGCCAUGCAGGCGGUCACGUACGAGGGACUGCGGGUCGGCAGCCCGGUGCGGCUCAACUUUCGCGAGAAGCGCGGUGACCGCGACCCACCGCAGCGGAGGCCGCCGCUCCAGCGCCGGGUGGACGCACAGUGCGUGCAGCGGUUCGCGCCGGCUGCUGGCGGUCAGACCGUUGAGGCCAACAUCAAACGCGGCGCCAAGUACCUGGUGUUCGUGGCCGGCGUCGGGCCGCACAACCUGUCCGUGCUUGGCGAACCCGUGCCGCGGACGCCCAAGAACGUGGACGCCGUGCAAAAGGUUCUGUGCAGGGACUGCGUUCAGCCAAUCGGCGUGUGGGGACUUCACAACACAACGUUAAAAGUCAAAAGCACUUUGAAGUUGAUGUGCAGAGCCAAAGGCAACCCGAUGCCCGCUCUACAAUGGUUCAAAGACGGCCAACCGAUUUUGGUGGGCAGGCGAAGGAUUCAAUAUAAAAAGAAAAGAUCCAUGCUUGUGAUACCAAAGGUGAGGCCAGAAGACGGAGGCAAGUAUGAGUGCAGAGGUACCGGAGUCCAAACCGGCCAUGUGGCUAUUACGUCGGCCCAAGUAAUAGUUAAUUCCAAACCGGACAACACGACAGCCCUGUGGCCGUUGGUCGGCGGUCCCUGUCCAGCAGAUCUCGUAUAUUGUCUGAACGGGGGCACUUGUACGUUCUACGAAACCAUCGGAGAGCUCGUUUGCCAGUGCGCCGAAGGCUUCAAGGGUCAACGGUGUGAGAACAAAGACAUUGUUAACAAAAGCACCAACGAUCAACCGCUGCAUUAUGUUUUAUUUUCGCUUUUUACCCCUCUUUCGGAAGUGGCGGGUGAAUGAUGUGUAAAAAAACUAUUUAUCCCAACAAUUGUUACGUACAUAGUACACAUGAACUGGACGAGUCAUUUGAAUCGCUCCAAACACACGAAAGUUUGAUCGUAUACAGUACACGGUGGGGGUGUGGAUUUUUGUUUGCAGAUUCAAAACAAAAUAAGAAACAAAAUACCAUUGGAAAUGACACAAAUAAUUUCGGCUAGUGACGCGUUGACACAAUAAUAUGCU